UAAUUAAAUUAAUUAGCCGACACAAUUAAUUAUCGAUAAUUAAACAGUGUUCAACACAGUCAUUUUUUUACGCCCAGUUCUUAAUUAUUGUUAAUUGUUGACUCCAAAAUGAUGUUUUUUCACCCCAAAUUUUAGAGGGGACAAUUAAUCAUUAAUAAUCAUUAAUAAUCGUUAAUAAGUCAUUAAUAAUCGUUAAUAAGUCAUUAACGAGGAAAGGAAAAAAGAUAAUUAGCAAUAAUUAAAAGAUUUGAGGAGGGAAAAGAAAAAAAAGGGCAGAAAUGAAGAAAAAAAUGGGAGUAAAAAAACGAAUUUUGGGGGUUUUUGGGUUAAAUUUGGGUUAUUUUGGGGAAAAAACCCAAAUUGGGGUGAAAUGAACCCAAAAUGAGGAGCCACAAUGGGGUGAAAUCAGUCAGAUUCGGAGCUAACGAAGGACUUGUUAACUAAUGGUCGUUAUUAAUUAAUCUGGAGGACAUUUUCAAGUGGGGUCGAAGAUGGAAUCAAAAUGGCGGACGUUGAGAAGAUGGGAUUGGAAGAACCGCAUGAAAACGGCCUUAAUUAAUGAAACCCAAUUAAUAAACGUAAUUAAAUGAAGCUCGUGACGAAAAA
This is a non-coding RNA of Coturnix japonica (Japanese quail), 606 nucleotides long. The record is from RefSeq and is a predicted model, not a curated record. NCBI's taxonomy places the organism in Eukaryota, Metazoa, Chordata, Aves, Galliformes, Phasianidae.